GGGUGGAAAGCUAAGGCCUUUGAAGACCUGGGACCCCGUAGUUUCGGGAGAGGGUGAGGGGUGAAUGGUGCUGAGGUGCGAGGAGAGGGAAGGACAGUAAAGAGCAGGUGGGCAGGAGGGUCUCCGACUCCAGAGACCUGAGCUUUUGGGGCGCGGGUGGGAGCGCGGGGGAACCCUCAAGACGGCUUUCUUUUGGCGACUGAGGGUUUUUCUGCCACAGGAAGCUGGGCCGGGCUGCUGUGCCUGGGAGGAGGGAAGGAGGAAUGAGAAAGCGGUGACGGUCCCUGCCCCCCCUCGCCAGGUGACUGUCCCACCCAUUUAGUUGAAUGUAGCGGCCAGAGAGGCACUCGCGGCAGCCCGUACGGGUGGGACCUCUCGGUGUCCUUCGGGAAACAGGAGGAGCAAGUUCGACUCCAGCGAGGGAAAACGGAGGUGGGAGACUGAACCAUCUCCACAUCUAGUUGCCCCAGCCUCACCAGAAGUCUUUCAUCUCGGUGGUCCAACUCAGGAUCUCAGCCUCAUUAUUUUCUUACCCUUCUGGAGUGCAUAUGUGCCUUUACAGUUUCUGUUUGCAAACGCUGUCUAGCAUACUAAGAGGAUGUUAGCAAACCUGUUCCAUGGACACUAAAUGGCAGUUGUACAUCUCCCCUCAUCAGUCAUAGUGACAACCAGAAAUGCCCUCCAUAUUUUCCAGUGAUCCCAGUCUUCAAUGCGUCUGUCUCAUAAUUUGUAAACGUUUAUUAUCUUGAAGUCAUUGUUAAUCUGUGGUGAAAAGUAAUUGCUAAAUAGAAAUUCUGAGAAGAAAAAGGCCUCAUCCUUUUCACAUGAUGUAGGAAGGUCUGUUGCAUGAGCAAUGGGAAAUCCAGAAAACAUAGAAGAUGCAUAUGUUGCUGUUAUUCGUCCAAAGAAUACUGCCAGUCUCAAUUCUCGGGAAUACAGAGCUAAGUCAUAUGAAAUUUUGUUGCAUGAAGUUCCCAUUGAAGGACAG
This 988-nucleotide long non-coding RNA is filed under the name Homo sapiens (human). RNAcentral's name for it is "HSALNT0125556". Lineage: Eukaryota; Metazoa; Chordata; Mammalia; Primates; Hominidae. The record is from RNAcentral.